RNAcentral lists this ribosomal RNA (465 nucleotides) under uncultured bacterium. Its description in RNAcentral is "partial 16S ribosomal RNA". It matches the Rfam family "Bacterial small subunit ribosomal RNA", at positions 28 to 507 of the family's 1533-position model. The record is from RNAcentral.
GACGAACGCUGGCGGCGUGCUUAACACAUGCCAGUCGAACGGAAAGGCCCCUUUGGGGGUACUCGAGUGGCGAACGGGUGAGUAACACGUGAGUAACCUGCCCUUGACUUCGGGAUAACUUCAGGAAACUGGGGCUAAUACCGGAUAGGAAUCCUUGCUGCAUGGUGGGGGUUGGAAAGCUUCGGCGGUUUUGGAUGGACUCGCGGCUUAUCAGCUUGUUGGUGGGGUAGUGGCUUACCAAGGCUUUGACGGGUAGCCGGCCUGAGAGGGCGACCGGCCACAUUGGGACUGAGAUACGGCCCAGACUCCUACGGGAGGCAGCAGUGGGGAGUAUUGCACAAUGGGCGGAAGCCUGAUGCAGCAACGCCGCGUGCGGGAUGACGGCCUUCGGGUUGUAAACCGCUUUCAGCAGGGGCGAAGCUUGUGGUGACGGUACCUGCAGAAGAAGCACCGGCUAACUACGUG